AACGGAGGGGGCGAGCGUGAUUCAUCAUGAUUGGGCGUAAGGGGUAUGUAGGGGAUUGGUAGCGCCGAGGCUUAAAGAGCAGAUUGAGGGUCUGCUGGGGGUAUCGGGCGUGUUCAAUUUGAAAAAUUCAAGGUUGGCGGAAUUACUAAUGUAGAGGUAAAAUUCAAUGAUAUUAGUAGGAAUACCGUUGGCGAAAGCAGCUUUCCGAAUAUUUUGACGCUGAUGUACUAAAGCAUGGGGAUCAAACAGG
Molecule: ribosomal RNA, 250 nt
Filed under: uncultured bacterium
Lineage: Bacteria
Description: partial 16S ribosomal RNA
Rfam family: Bacterial small subunit ribosomal RNA
Source: RNAcentral